CCAAGUUCUGUCAUGCACUGA
RNAcentral lists this microRNA (21 nucleotides) under Bos taurus (domestic cattle). RNAcentral's name for it is "bta-miR-148c". Its record names the gene bta-miR-148c. Lineage: Eukaryota; Metazoa; Chordata; Mammalia; Artiodactyla; Bovidae. The record is from miRBase by way of RNAcentral.